This 124-nucleotide ribosomal RNA is filed under the name Providencia rettgeri. Its description in RNAcentral is "partial 16S ribosomal RNA". It matches the Rfam family "Bacterial small subunit ribosomal RNA", at positions 1 to 119 of the family's 1533-position model. The record is from RNAcentral. Lineage: Bacteria; Pseudomonadati; Pseudomonadota; Gammaproteobacteria; Enterobacterales; Morganellaceae. RNAcentral also lists the same sequence under 3 other names.
UAAUUGAAGAGUUUGAUCAUGGCUCAGAUUGAACGCUGGCGGCAGGCCUAACACAUGCAAGUCGAGCGGUAACAGGGGAAGCUUGCUUCUCGCUGACGAGCGGCGGACGGGUGAGUAAUGUAUG